AUUGAACGCUAGCGGCAUGCCUUACACAUGCAAGUCGAACGGAGUUGCGAACGGGUGAGGAAUGUAUCGGAACGUGCCCAUUAGCGGGGGAUAACUACGCGAAGGCGUAGCUAAUACCGCAUGCUUGUGGGGCGCCCUAUGUUGGAUUAGCUAGUUGGUGGGGUAACGGCUCACCAAGGCGGCGAUCCGUAGCUGGUUUGAGAGGACGACCAGCCACACUGGGACUGAGACACGGCCCAGACUCCUACGGGAGGCAGCAGUGGGGAAUUUUGGACAAUGGGGGAAACCCUGAUCCAGCCAUCCCGCGUGUGCGAUGAAGGCCUUCGGGUUGUAAAGCACUUUUGGCAGGAAAGCGGUACCUGCAGAAUAAGCACCGGCUAACUACGUGCCAGCCGCCGCGGUAAUAC
RNAcentral lists this ribosomal RNA (407 nucleotides) under uncultured bacterium. Its description in RNAcentral is "partial 16S ribosomal RNA". It matches the Rfam family "Bacterial small subunit ribosomal RNA", at positions 30 to 526 of the family's 1533-position model. The record is from RNAcentral.